GUUCAGCUGAAGAGUCCAAAAUAGGACGAAACGCGCGUCCCGAAC
RNAcentral lists this non-coding RNA (45 nucleotides) under Schistosoma mansoni. The record is from RNAcentral. Lineage: Eukaryota; Metazoa; Platyhelminthes; Trematoda; Strigeidida; Schistosomatidae.